UACGUAGGGUGCAAGCGUUGUCCGGAAUUAUUGGGCGUAAAGAGCUCGUAGGCGGUUUGUCGCGUCUGCUGUGAAAACCCGAGGCUCAACCUCGGGCCUGCAGUGGGUACGGGCAGACUAGAGUGCGGUAGGGGAGAUUGGAAUUCCUGGUGUAGCGGUGGAAUGCGCAGAUAUCAGGAGGAACACCAAUUGCGAAGGCAGCUCGCUGGGACGUCACUGACGCUGAGACGCGAAAGCGUGGGGAGCAAACAGG
RNAcentral lists this ribosomal RNA (253 nucleotides) under uncultured bacterium. Its description in RNAcentral is "partial 16S ribosomal RNA". It matches the Rfam family "Bacterial small subunit ribosomal RNA", at positions 524 to 776 of the family's 1533-position model. The record is from RNAcentral.